This 1387-nucleotide ribosomal RNA is filed under the name Bacteroides sp. Its description in RNAcentral is "bacterial SSU rRNA". It matches the Rfam family "Bacterial small subunit ribosomal RNA". The record is from RNAcentral. Lineage: Bacteria; Pseudomonadati; Bacteroidota; Bacteroidia; Bacteroidales; Bacteroidaceae.
CAAGUCGAGGGGCAGCAUGGUCUUAGCUUGCUAAGGCCGAUGGCGACCGGCGCACGGGUGAGUAACGCGUAUCCAACCUGCCUUACACUCUUGGACAGCCUUCUGAAAGGGAGAUUAAUACAAGAUGUUAUCAUGAGUAAGCAUUUUCGCAUGAUUAAAGGUUUACCGGUGUAAGAUGGGGAUGCGUUCCAUUAGAUAGUAGGCGGGGUAACGGCCCACCUAGUCUUCGAUGGAUAGGGGUUCUGAGAGGAAGGUCCCCCACAUUGGAACUGAGACACGGUCCAAACUCCUACGGGAGGCAGCAGUGAGGAAUAUUGGUCAAUGGACGAGAGUCUGAACCAGCCAAGUAGCGUGAAGGAUGAAGGUUCUAUGGAUUGUAAACUUCUUUUAUACGGGAAUAAACGAAUCCACGUGUGGAUUUUUGCAUGUACCGUAUGAAUAAGGAUCGGCUAACUCCGUGCCAGCAGCCGCGGUAAUACGGAGGAUCCGAGCGUUAUCCGGAUUUAUUGGGUUUAAAGGGAGCGUAGAUGGGUUGUUAAGUCAGUUGUGAAAGUUUGCGGCUCAACCGUAAAAUUGCAAUUGAUACUGGCAGUCUUGAGUACAGUUGAGGUAGGCGGAAUUCGUGGUGUAGCGGUGAAAUGCUUAGAUAUCACGAAGAACUCCGAUUGCGAAGGCAGCUUACUAACCUGUAACUGACAUUGAUGCUCGAAAGUGUGGGUAUCAAACAGGAUUAGAUACCCUGGUAGUCCACACGGUAAACGAUGAAUACUCGCUGUAGGCGAUAUACAGUCUGCGGCCAAGCGAAAGCAUUAAGUAUUCCACCUGGGGAGUACGCCGGCAACGGUGAAACUCAAAGGAAUUGACGGGGGCCCGCACAAGCGGAGGAACAUGUGGUUUAAUUCGAUGAUACGCGAGGAACCUUACCCGGGCUUAAAUUGCAACCGAAUAUGGCGGAAACGCUAUAGCUAGCAAUAGCGGUUGUGAAGGUGCUGCAUGGUUGUCGUCAGCUCGUGCCGUGAGGUGUCGGCUUAAGUGCCAUAACGAGCGCAACCCUUGCCGAUAGUUACUAACAGGUCAUGCUGAGGACUCUGUCGGGACUGCCAUCGUAAGAUGUGAGGAAGGUGGGGAUGACGUCAAAUCAGCACGGCCCUUACGUCCGGGGCUACACACGUGUUACAAUGGGGGGUACAGAGGGCUGCUACCACGCAAGUGGAUGCCAAUCCCAAAAACCUCUCUCAGUUCGGAUUGAAGUCUGCAACCCGACUUCAUGAAGCUGGAUUCGCUAGUAAUCGCGCAUCAGCCACGGCGCGGUGAAUACGUUCCCGGGCCUUGUACACACCGCCCGUCAAGCCAUGGGAGCCGGGGGUACCUGAAGUGCGUAACCGCA